AUUUUUCACAACAAGGCCUUGUUUUUAACCUUUAAGGAAAACCUAUUGAAUACUGUGAAUAAUGAUGAUUUAUUCAAUGACUUUGUGCUUGGAUAGUUGGGGAAAGGGUGAAAAUCUGGCUCUGCACCUUGGUUAUAGAUUAUAUCCAUAGUUUGAUUAGCUUUGUACAAAGAUGAGGGAGCAUCUAUAAUAAACUGUUCUAGCAUUGUCCUAGCAUCUGCAGUAUUCUUUCAUUUGAAAAUCUAUCUCUAGUCCUAUUCAAGGAAGACCACAGUCACACAAGUGAACAAACACAUGAGAAGGAGCUGCUGCAAAACUCUGCUCUAAAGGUGACUCGACAUGAAAUUUGGAAGGUCACGGUGUGGCUCUGGCAGCAGGAGUUCAUUACGAAUGCAUAUGCAUUAUGCAGACACACUGCAGUUGGUUACAAAUGGUUAGUGGAGGUGAACAGAGCAGACUCAGACAGAGCAAGAAGAAACCUAAGCCACAUGAGACAAGAAACUUGCAGCUGAGCAUACUGAUGAAGCCUUGGGCUGAUCAGGACACUUUUGCUCCAGUUCAAGAACAGGAAAGCACAGAUGCCAUGACAUGAUGCACCCCGUACAUCCAGUCAUCAUUUCUGCCCUCACCCCCAUCAUUGAACUGGAGAGCAAUCAUGGCAAAAGAGAUGAGCUCUCAACACAGAGGAACAAUUGUGUUCAGAACUCCAACCGUGUGCUAGAUUUGUAGUACCAGCUGGAAAGCACAUGUGAUUGAGACUGUCAAACUCUCUUUCUAUUUCAGCACAUAGCAAUGGGGCAUUCCCAUGGGUGGUUCUUCUGUCUCUUGUGAAGGAACUCCAAGCUCAGGAUGAGACAUUUUAGAAAGUGGGUUAAAAUUACACUGCUCUUGUGAGGAAAAGCCAAACCCUGGGUGGGGUAUUUUAGAAAGUGUAGUAAAAUUGCACUGCUUUGGGAACUGGAGGCACCUUUUAUUUCCUGACUGGAGAUGUCACACCCCUCUUGAGCUGCAAGCUUUAUCUGCCAAAAAGACACAUAUAAUGAGGAGGAAGGUGGAGAACAACUGGGGAAAGUGACAAAAAAAACCUCUUUUGAUGGAAAGACCUAACUCAAUACUUGAUGAAGGGCUAUCUAAAAGGUACAAAUGCCCACAAAAUACAAAUGGACCAUUGUGGAUCUCAUGGUCCAUGUGAUGUG
RNAcentral lists this long non-coding RNA (1196 nucleotides) under Anolis carolinensis (green anole). RNAcentral describes it as "lncRNA (ENSACAG00000039877.1)". The record is from RNAcentral. Lineage: Eukaryota; Metazoa; Chordata; Lepidosauria; Squamata; Anolidae.